AUUGAACGCUGGCGGCAGGCCUAACACAUGCAAGUCGAGCGACCGGCGGACGGGUGAGUAAUGUAUGGGGACUGCCCGAUAGAGGGGGAUAACUACAGGACACGGUAGCUAAUACCGCAUACUAUCGGAUAACCCAUAUGGGAUUAGCUAGUUGGUGGGGUACUGGCUCACCACGGCGACGAUCCCUAGCUGGUCGGAGAGGAAGAUCAGGCACACUGUGACUGAGACACGGCCCAGACUCCUACGGAGGCAGCAGUUGGGAAUAUUGCACAAUGGGCGCAAGCCUGAUGCAGCCAUGCCGCGUGUAUGAAGAAGGCCUUAGGGUUGUAAAGUACUUUCAGCGGGGAGGCGUUACCCGCAGAAGAAGCACCGGCUAACUCCGUGCCAGCAGCCGCGGUAAUUC
This 403-nucleotide ribosomal RNA is filed under the name uncultured bacterium. RNAcentral's name for it is "partial 16S ribosomal RNA". It matches the Rfam family "Bacterial small subunit ribosomal RNA", at positions 30 to 526 of the family's 1533-position model. The record is from RNAcentral.